GGAUGCUCAAACAUUGAAGAUGAAUCUAUCUGUUGUUAUUGUGGUAAAGUCAAUUUAAUUUAAUGAGCAUGCUUUUUUUAAAAAAAAUGAACAAGAGAUAUUUGAAAAUGCAAACGAACAGCACCAUCCCUGUUUGCCCUCAGCCUUUCUUCCUAACACACUCAGGAUGCAGCUCCCCCUACAAAAGUAGGACAGGUGAGUAAACUGUCAGGCACCUGGACUCAGCCAGGGCCUGUGUGUGUUCAGAGCCCCAGUUUAGUCUCCUCUUCUAGCUCUGUGCAUCCACAUGGUAAGGAUAGAUGAAGCACAGGACCACAGGACGUAGUUAUGGAAGGCUUUGACAGUGUGGGUUCACUGAACAGGCUGUGGCCCAGGACAGAGAGCAUGCAAGGAACUCACUGAUUUUAUUCUUAGGUCUUCUGGUAACAAGUGUGUGACUGGAGCAAUCUUGACUUCCUUAUGCCUCCAUUUUCCUAUCUGUUCAAUGCAGAGUUUAGAAUUAUGUUUUCUCGUGUCUGUUGCUGUUCUCUAGUUCUAUGCACUAUUGUGAAGACUUAUUGACUUCCAGGAGAGAAGGAGACUUGCUGACCUCUGGACUUCAUCCUCUCAGGAGUCUGCACUCAGCCUUUACCAACAGGAACACUGGUGCCCUCAAGUUGGUCCAAGAAGAUCUCACAGAAUAAACACAGCCAAAUUCCUGGUGGUUCUGCUGGUCCAGGAGGGAGUCACUUGCCUUGUACAUGACAGGAUGACUUUGAAAACCAGAUGCAUUGAUUCCAACUGACCAGAAGUCUUAACUUACUGAAAUUGUUGCCCUUUGUCUAUCUGCAUGAGGAAGAAUCGGGUAAGGUGGCAACAGCUGUAUUAAAAAUAACUACAUCCCCAGGUGCCAAGCACUGGAUAACAGGGUAUUAUAUAUGCAGAUUCAGUCCAAUCUAUUUUCAUCAAUGGGUCUAAAUGCUUAGAAUUGACAUUUAAUCACUUCAUUCAAUAAACAUUGUUUGAGUACCUCCACUAUAUUCCAGGUGCUAUUCUAGGCCUUGGAGAAACAACUCUGGAUACAUUAAAGACCCUCUGUAUGGGAAGAAAGCAAAUAAAUAUACAACAUAUCAGUUAGUGGUGAGUGCUGAGAAGAAAAAAUAAACCAGGAGAAGGGUGAUAGAGUGAGAGAAUAGGGACUUCUGAGCUUUUACCAAGACUGAUGAUAGGAGUUUUCUCUGAGUAUGUGAUGUUUGAGCAGAGAUCUAGGCAAGACAAGAUUAUGACAUGAGAAGAGGGAAAAGCUGGUUUUCUUCAUCAUAUUCUGUUAAGUCAAGGCAGAAGAUGGCGUCUUUUAAGAAAUAGUAUCAGAAGGUUCUCAAAGAAAACAUUAGCCCUCAGUUAAUUAGAAAAUCCAAUUGGCCAGAAUUCCUCUUAACUCCAUUUCCUAGGCAAUCAAAUGAGUGUAAUAUAUGCAUUUAUACAUACAAUAUAUAAAUUUAAAUGCUCUUAAUUAUCUUCUCAGACACAACAUGUUAUAGUGGGAAAAGAAUGAACUUUUAUAUAUUAUAUAAACUUUUAUAUAUUUAUAUAAAUAUAAUAAGUAUAAUUGGUGAAUUCCACUAAGAAAACAACUCCAUCUUUUUGUGAUUUUGAGUCAACUUGUUAACCUUCCCAGAUUUCAUUUUAUCCAUAGAAAUAUAACAUACUUACCCUUUAGACUGACUAUAAGGAUUAUAUCAGAUGCCAUAUGUAAGAUUAGACACCUAGAAGUGUCUAAAAAUAUGUUAAACUUGUUUUCCCAAGGUGCCAAGAGAAUUACUAAUCCAUGAAGAGUGUCACAAAGUAAUGCAAUAGCUAUAAAAUUUUAUUUCUUUUCCCAGCAACAGAAUUGGAAACUUUAGGAUAUCCAGGAAACCAGUGGCUUAAGUGCACUUAAGAUUUAUUGAAAUGAUUAUUCUACUGUGUCGUCAGUGUCAAUGUCCCUUCUGGACUAUUCGUUUGAAGUUUUUUAUUCCAGCUACAUAUUAGGACAGCAGACAAUAAUGAGAAUGAAUAUCAUGUCUGGAAUUUCUCCUUUUAACACUGAGCCCUAAGACUAUAACCAUCAGUCAAGCAUGCUAGACAUAUGCUCAAAUUUAGCCUUUCAUUGUCUACAGAAUUAACAUUUCUUCUUCGUCCAGUGCCGGUGGUCCAGUGGGAUGGGUCCUAUAAAAUGGGCACCCAUGAAUUUUCAUGUAACAUUUAUUGAAACAGUUUUUAAGAACCCAAUACCUACUUCAUUGGGUUUUCCUAAAAUAGAAUGAAUAGGAUCUGCUUAGUUCCAUUUUAAACUCACUUGUGUAUUUUUCUUCCUCUUAUUGCAUAUUUACAGCACUAGGAUUAGAAUAAAAUUCCCACGUCCUAUCUGCUGCUUGGUACUCUAUAUGGUGGUUUCUUUAAAAUAUAUGAAUGGGCUAUUUUCUCAUUUCUGUUAGUUAUUUCCAGAGGUUGGUAUUGGGACAGCUGCAGGAUGGCCAUCACUAUGCUCAUUCCACGUUGUUGUUGAAGUUUUUCAUGAACAAACCUAGCAAUUAGAGAUCAAACCACUGUUGGACAUCAUCAUGCUGCCCUUUCUCCAGAGGUUCAUUCCAUUUUUACAGAUGUGGUAUCAAGCUUUCUCAAAAUGGAAAGGUACUAUCUUCUUCCAUUAUAAAUUCAUUUUUAUUAUGGGUAUGAACUCUACUUGAGUUAGUGUUAAGUGUAUACCUGGAAUGAACCCCACCAAUUUUAACAUCAGAGAAUUUUCUAUAAGCUCAUAGGCCUUAGAAAGGAGUCAGCUAACCCCUGGGAAAACCAGAAUACCUGAUCUUUUCUUUUAAAAUGUUUAUUUAUUGAUGUAUUUGAGAGACAGAGAGUCAGAAAAAGAGAGACAGACAGAGAGCUCCAGUCCACUGGCUCACUCCCUAAAUAUCCGCAAUAAGCUGGGAGUCACGUACUCAGCUAAUUCUCCCAUAUGGGCAAGAAGGACCCAGCUACUUGAGCCAUCACCUGUUGCCUCCCAGGGUCUGCAUUAACAGGAAGUUCUAUCCAGAGCAGAUGCAGUACUCAAGCCCACAUAUUUUAAUAUGGGAUGUGGACAUCCUAAUUAAUGCUCUGCCAGUUCAAACACCCAGGCCAUCGCCCCUGAAAAUUGCCUGCUACUUCACAAGCCCCUGGAUAUUGACUAAAUUUGUCUUAAUUGGAUGUGUCAGCAUUCAUCUUCAAUACUAAGUGUGAAGUCAAAGGGAAGCCUUGAAAGUAGUUAUCAGACAGGCAUUUUGAUAAAAUGAUAGUAAUCAAACCCAUAAAAGGAGCCUAAUACUGGAAUGAGUAUCACUUUUAGGUAAUAUUUGGUACUUUAUUACUAUAAUUUACACAGCAUUUUCUAGACUAUUAGCUUAUAUACUGUCUACCAGUCAAUGUAUAGUAAAUAAUCAUCUUCAUUUUCACAGAUAAGAAAACCUGAGACUUAAAAGUUAAACAUGGACUGGAAUUGUUAAGGUUAAGCUGCCGCUUAAGACACCAACAUCCUAUAUUGGAGCGCUGGUUCAAGUCCUGGCUGCUCCACUUCCAAUCCAACUAAUGUGCCUGGGAGGGCAGCUUCUAGAAGAUGGCCCAAGUACUUCAGCCCCUGUCACCCAUGUGGGAGACCUGGAUGGAAUUCCUGGCCCCUGGUUUCAGGGCCAGACUAGGCUGUUGCAGUCAUUUAGGGAAUAACUGGGUAAAGGAAGAAUCUCUCUCUCUCUCUCUCUCUCUCUCUCUCUCUCCAUUUCAAGUAAAUAAAUAUUUAAAAACAACAAGAAGAAGUUAAAACAGUUUGCCGAAAAUCAUACAGCUAGCCAACGUCCACUGGAACUGGACUGCAGGUCUUCAGACUUAAACCCUCUGCUCUCUUCCCUCCACUAAUGUCUUCCAAUUCCUGUAUCUUGUAGAUACAUUUAUUCAUUUUAUGACAUCUACUACCCACUUGUUCUUUUCAUGCUAUUUUAUGUAGACUCAAGUUUCAGCUCACUGAUGAGCUACAGAUCCUCAACAAAUCUCUGAAUUACAAAAUUGAUUCUAAGUUGAAGGAGAUGUGAAGUGUGUUUUCAUACAAUAAAUAUUAUAUCAGCACACAUGUACUUCUGAGCUUGUUGAUAAAAGAAUAGAUUCAGUUCUCUCUGUCAUUUUUUUUUGGAGCUGCACCCAGUUCUUCCUGUGCUUUGAAACUCCAAACCACUGUUCACCCCAAAUUGCAGUGGGAUCUUUCAACAUAUGCUCUUUAGAUCAGUCACUCAGUACUUUGUCAUGAAUUGACUAUGUGUCUCAUGUGUCACUGGCUUAUUAUUCUUGGUUCAUUAUAAUUUAAUUUUCCCUAUAUGAAUUGCCUCCCCACUAGAGAUUAACCAUAUAGAAAAAAAACAGGGGCCAUAUCUCAAACUUUUCCCAAUGCCUUAGAUUUAAGGUUGCUUAGAAGUGUAUUUUUUAAAGACAGACCCAAAUAAAAUCUAUUAUACUUAUAAUGGUCAUUUACCUGCUACUUCUUUUUGUUAACAACUAUUUUUGUUGGGUAGUCAUGUGAUCCAGAAAUGCAAUGAGAUAUAAGUAGAUUCAUUCUGGAAAAGCUUUUACUUCCAUUUGAAAUUGACAGGGAGAAGAGACUCACAAACCCACGCCUUCCCUUUCUUCUUGACAUAUGUCCUGUCCCUGUGGCUGUAAUCAUGUGACAUGAAAGGCACCAGGCAUUAGACUGAAAUGAUAACAGCCCAGAAUGGUAGAGCAGAAAGAAAAAGACCUUGACGACAUACAUGAGCAGCUGCAUCAGUGCCAGCAGUCACCUCCCUUCAGUCUUCCUGGGCAUGAGAUACCUCGUGUCUGUAUUAAGCCAUUUCUGCUCUGCCUGAAUGAGUAAAUGAGUAUAUUCAGAGUUUCAUACCAGAAUUGAACCACCCAUCUUUCUUUGAGCUCCCUAAUAGGCAAAACAAUAGCAUAAAAAAGAUAGUUGAUCAGUUAAUAUUAGCCAUUGUCUUUGCAGAGAAAAGGUACCAGUUCUUCAAGGAAAGCCCUGCUGCUCAUGAAACUUAGUUCUUUCAUAAACGUCUCGAGUAAAGUACCAUAGAGGAACACAAAGUAUGGAAAAUAUAUUCAAGUCACAUCCACACAUUAAAUGCAAAGUUAGAUUUCAUAUAGUUGUUUCUUCUAAUACAAUUUAAUGUAAACUGAGGAUAUAAUACCCAACCUCAACUCAGUAAAAAAAAUUGUAGAGGGGCUGUUGUUGCAGUAUCACAGGUUAAGCCACCAUAUACAAGGCCAGCAUCCCAUAUGGGCACCAGUUGGAGUCCCUGCUGCUCCACUUCUGAUCCAGCUCCUUACUAAUACACCUGGGAAAGCAGGAGAAUUUAGUCCAAGUGCUUGGGCUCCUGUCACCCAUGCAUGGAAUUUCUGGCUCUCAGCCUGUCCCAACCCUGAGUGUUGUGGUCAUUUGGGUAGUAUACUAGUGGAUGGAAAAAUUUCUCUGUCUCUGUCUCUGUCUCUCUCUCCCUCUCUCUCUCUCUCUCCCUCUCUCUCAUUCUGCCUUAUUAAUUAAAUAAAUAAAUCUUUUUUUAAAAUAAUUAUAUAAGAGACAAUUUAGGUCAUUUGACUUAAAUAGAUUUUUUUGAUUG
Molecule: non-coding RNA, 5642 nt
Organism: Oryctolagus cuniculus (rabbit)
Lineage: Eukaryota; Metazoa; Chordata; Mammalia; Lagomorpha; Leporidae
Source: RefSeq, a predicted model, not a curated record